RNAcentral lists this long non-coding RNA (211 nucleotides) under Elaeis guineensis (African oil palm). Its description in RNAcentral is "long non-coding RNA (EGUI_LNC051085)". The record is from RNAcentral. Lineage: Eukaryota; Viridiplantae; Streptophyta; Magnoliopsida; Arecales; Arecaceae.
AGAGAGAAUUCAAUUCAAAAAAUAAAUUAUAGAAAGUAAUGCAUGUCCCUAGAGAAAGAUAGAAAGAUCUAUGAAGCUUAUCAUAGAUCGGAUCAUAUCCAAAAGGAUCCAAUUCCUCCUUUCGGAUACCCCACUCAGCUGAGUCAUCUCAGGAGGUGUCCACUAUGAGCGUAUGCCGUUAUCCUUGAGAUAGAUCCAAAAUUCUCCAUUA